Molecule: ribosomal RNA, 253 nt
Filed under: uncultured bacterium
Lineage: Bacteria
Description: partial 16S ribosomal RNA
Rfam family: Bacterial small subunit ribosomal RNA
Source: RNAcentral
UACAGAGGUGGCAAGCGUUGUUCGGAAUUACUGGGCGUAAAGCGCACGUAGGCGGACCAGCAAGUUAGGGGUGAAAUCCCGGGGCUCAACCCCGGAACUGCCUUUAAAACUGUUGGUCUGGAGGUCGAGAGAGGUGAGUGGAAUUCCGAGUGUAGAGGUGAAAUUCGUAGAUAUUCGGAGGAACACCAGUGGCGAAGGCGGCUCACUGGCUCGAUACUGACGCUGAGGCGCGAAAGCUAGGGGAGCAAACGGG